Molecule: ribosomal RNA, 396 nt
Filed under: uncultured bacterium
Lineage: Bacteria
Description: bacterial SSU rRNA
Rfam family: Bacterial small subunit ribosomal RNA
Source: RNAcentral
GACGAACGCUGGCGGCGUGCUUAACACAUGCAAGUCGAGCGGUAAGGCCCUUUCGGGGGUACACGAGCGGCGAACGGGUGAGUAACACGUGGGUGACCUGCCCUUAGCUCUGGGAUAAGCCUGGGAAACUGGGUCUAAUACCGGAUAUGACUCCAUGACGCAUGUUGUGGGGUGGAAAGCCUUGUGCGGCUAGGGAUGGGCCCGCGGCCUAUCAGCUUGUUGGUGGGGUGAUGGCCUACCAAGGCGACGACGGGUAGCCGGCCUGAGAGGGCGACCGGCCACACUGGGACUGAGACACGGCCCAGACUCCUACGGGAGGCAGCAGUGGGAAUCUUGCGCAAUGGGCGAAAGCCUGACGCAGCGACGCCGCGUGAGGGAUGACGGCCCUCGGGUUGU